CAGAGUAGGGAACAAAGCGUUAAGUGUCGGGAGGAUGGGAUGUUGCCCCCGGACGAAAAGGAAGUUCUAUGGACUUGCUUGCGGUUUUGGUCUCGCAUUCGCUGC
This 105-nucleotide non-coding RNA is filed under the name Jeotgalibaca porci. RNAcentral's name for it is "THF riboswitch". It matches the Rfam family "THF (Tetrahydrofolate) riboswitch aptamer". Rfam says of the family: THF riboswitch presents a pseudoknot that joins P1-P2 and the loop of P3 and two THF binding. Lineage: Bacteria; Bacillati; Bacillota; Bacilli; Lactobacillales; Carnobacteriaceae. The record is from RNAcentral.